RNAcentral lists this long non-coding RNA (391 nucleotides) under Homo sapiens (human). RNAcentral's name for it is "non-protein coding lnc-RAB3C-7:1". The record is from RNAcentral. Lineage: Eukaryota; Metazoa; Chordata; Mammalia; Primates; Hominidae.
AAUGUCAUUCCCAAAGUUUACUCCAUCGCACCUGGCCACUCUGCCCUUGACCCUCGACUCAGCCAAAUAUGACAUAUCUCUGGAAGGCUGGCAGAUGCAAGCUGAACGGUUGGCCAUAAGAGCCCAGCUGAAACAAGAGUACCUGCUUCAGUACAACAACCAACUCUAACCACCAAGGGCUCAUCGAAGAUCUUGCCUUAAUUCGUUGGACCUAUGCAAGAUCAGCAAAUGUCUAUUCUAAUUUCAGACUCACUCCUAAAACUCACUCUUGGGAGCUCUGUGUGGAAUUGGGCCCCUCUUCUUCUGGUAUUAUGUUUUCAAAACUGACAGGGAUAGGAAAGAAAAACUUAUCCAGGAAGGAAAAUUGGAUGGAACAUUUAACAUCUCAUAU